AUUGAACGCUGGCGGCAGGCCUAACACAUGCAAGUCGAGCGGUAGCGGGAAGUAGCUUGCUACUUUGCCGGCGCGCGGCGGACGGGUGAGUAAUGUCUGGGAAACUGCCUGAUGGAGGGGGAUAACUACUGGAAACGGUAGCUAAUACCGCAUAACGUUGCAAGAUCAAAGAGGGGGAACUUCGGGCCCCUGGCCAUCAGAUGGGCCCAGAUGGGAUUAGCUAGGAGGUGGGGUAACGGCUCACCUAGGCGACGAUCCCUAGCUGAGUCUGAGAGGAUGACCAGCCACACUGGGACUGAGACACGGUCCAGACUCCUACGGGAGGCAGCAGUGGGGAAUAUUGCACAAUGGGCGCAAGCCUGAUGCAGCCAUGCCGCGUGUAUGAAGAAGGCCUUCGGGUUGUAAAGUACUUUCAGCGGGGAGGAAGGUGUUGAGGUUAAUAACCUCAGCAAUUGACGUUACCCGCAGAAGAAGCACCGGCUAACUCCGUGCCAGCCGCCGCGGUAA
RNAcentral lists this ribosomal RNA (507 nucleotides) under uncultured bacterium. RNAcentral's name for it is "partial 16S ribosomal RNA". It matches the Rfam family "Bacterial small subunit ribosomal RNA", at positions 29 to 523 of the family's 1533-position model. The record is from RNAcentral.